ACACUCCUACGGGAGGCAGCAGUGGGGAAUUUUGGACAAUGGGGGCAACCCUGAUCCAGCAAUGCCGCGUGAGUGAAGAAGGCCUUCGGGUUGUAAAGCUCUUUUGUCAGGGAAGAAACGGUGGUGGCGAAUAACUACUACUAAUGACGGUACCUGAAGAAUAAGCACCGGCUAACUACGUGCCAGCAGCCGCGGUAAUACGUAGGGUGCAAGCGUUAAUCGGAAUUACUGGGCGUAAAGCGUGCGCAGGCGGUUGUGUAAGUCAGAUGUGAAAUCCCCGGGCUCAACCUGGGAAUUGCAUUUGAGACUGCACGGCUAGAGUGUGUCAGAGGGGGGUAGAAUUCCACGUGUAGCAGUGAAAUGCGUAGAUAUGUGGAGGAAUACCGAUGGCGAAGGCAGCCCCCUGGGAUAACACUGACGCUCAUGCACGAAAGCGUGGGGAGCAAACAGGAUUAGAUACCCUGGUAGUCCCAUGA
This 476-nucleotide ribosomal RNA is filed under the name uncultured organism. Its description in RNAcentral is "partial 16S ribosomal RNA". It matches the Rfam family "Bacterial small subunit ribosomal RNA", at positions 333 to 800 of the family's 1533-position model. The record is from RNAcentral.